GAUGAACGCUGGCGGCGUGCCUAAUACAUGCAAGUCGAGCGAACAGACGAGGAGCUUGCUCCUCUGACGUUAGCGGCGGACGGGUGAGUAACACGUGGAUAACCUACCUAUAAGACUGGGAUAACUUCGGGAAACCGGAGCUAAUACCGGAUAAUAUAUUGAACCGCAUGGUUCAAUAGUGAAAGACGGUUUUGCUGUCACUUAUAGAUGGAUCCGCGCCGCAUUAGCUAGUUGGUAAGGUAACGGCUUACCAAGGCAACGAUGCGUAGCCGACCUGAGAGGGUGAUCGGCCACACUGGAACUGAGACAUGGUCCAGACUCCUACGGGAGGCAGCAGUAGGGAAUCUUCCGCAAUGGGCGAAAGCCUGACGGAGCAACGCCGCGUGAGUGAUGAAGGUCUUCGGAUCGUAAAACUCUGUUAUUAGGGAAGAACAAAUGUGUAAGUAACUAUGCACGUCUUGACGGUACCUAAUCAGAAAGCCACGGCUAACUACGUGC
Molecule: ribosomal RNA, 498 nt
Filed under: uncultured bacterium
Lineage: Bacteria
Description: partial 16S ribosomal RNA
Rfam family: Bacterial small subunit ribosomal RNA
Source: RNAcentral